UACAGGGGGUGCAACCGUUGCUCGGAAUCAUUGGGCGUAAAGCGCACGUAGGCGGUCUGUUAUGUCGGAUGUGAAAGCCCUUGGCUCAACUGAGGAAGUGCAUCCGAAACUGGCAGGCUAGAGUACGAAAGAGGAUCGCGGAAUUCCCGGUGUAGAGGUGAAAUUCGUAGAUAUCGGGAGGAACACCGGUGGCGAAGGCGGUUACCUGGAGCUUUGCUGACGCUGAUGCGCGAAAGCGUGGGGAGCGAGCCGG
This 253-nucleotide ribosomal RNA is filed under the name uncultured bacterium. Its description in RNAcentral is "partial 16S ribosomal RNA". It matches the Rfam family "Bacterial small subunit ribosomal RNA", at positions 524 to 776 of the family's 1533-position model. The record is from RNAcentral.